This is a non-coding RNA of Acidobacteriales bacterium 13_2_20CM_55_8, 142 nucleotides long. NCBI's taxonomy places the organism in Bacteria, Pseudomonadati, Acidobacteriota, Terriglobia, Terriglobales. The record is from Rfam.
CAGCCGGGGGAAGGACCCGCCCAGACAGAUGUUGGUUAGGUCUGGUAGCUAACGAGCAUUGAAGCUGGGAAACCGGCUGCAAUGAAGCCUCGUGACAAAGCCCACGGAUGGUGGGCGAGCAACUUUGCAGGCCGUAACGCGA